GAUGAACGCUGGCGGGUGUGCCUAAUACAUGCAAGUCGAGCGCACUGGCCCAACUGAUAUGACGUGCUUGCACUGAAUUGACGCUGGAUUACCAGUGAGCGGCGGACGGGUGAGUAACACGUGGGCAACCUGCCCUGAAGUGGGGGAUAACAUCUGGAAACAGGUGCUAAUACCGCAUAACAACGAAAACCACAUGGUUUUCGUUUCAAAGAUGGUUUCGGCUAUCACUUCAGGAUGGGCCCGCGGUGCAUUAGCUAGUUGGUAAGGUAACGGCUUACCAAGGCAAUGAUGCAUAGCCGAGUUGAGAGACUGAUCGGCCACAAUGGAACUGAGACACGGUCCAUACUCCUACGGGAGGCAGCAGUAGGGAAUCUUCCACAAUGGGCGCAAGCCUGAUGGAGCAACACCGCGUGAGUGAAGAAGGGUUUCGGCUCGUAAAGCUCUGUUGUUGGAGAAGAACGUGCGUGAGAGUAACUGCUCACGCAGUGACGGUAUCCAACCAGAAAGUCACGGCUAACUACGUGCCAGCAGCCGCGGUAAUACGUAGGUGGCAAGCGUUAUCCGGAUUUAUUGGGCGUAAAGCGAGCGCAGGCGGUUGCUUAGGUCUGAUGUGAAAGCCUUCGGCUUAACCGAAGAAGGGCAUCGGAAACCGGGCGACUUGAGUGCAGAAGAGGACAGUGGAACUCCAUGUGUAGCGGUGGAAUGCGUAGAUAUAUGGAAGAACACCAGUGGCGAAGGCGGCUGUCUGGUCUGCAACUGACGCUGAGGCUCGAAAGCAUGGGUAGCGAACAGG
Molecule: ribosomal RNA, 793 nt
Filed under: uncultured Lactobacillus sp.
Lineage: Bacteria; Bacillati; Bacillota; Bacilli; Lactobacillales; Lactobacillaceae
Description: bacterial SSU rRNA
Rfam family: Bacterial small subunit ribosomal RNA
Source: RNAcentral